UGUGUGUUAAUAUAUCCAUCUAUUGUGCAAACAUUAAAACAAGAAAACAUAUUAGAGAAUGCAGUGAGUUUCUGAUCUUGAGGUUGUUCUGAAGUUGCUUAUACCAUAUUGACUUCGUUGAAUGAAAGCCAUAAGUUGAUGGAGUUGAUCCUUUGUCAAUAAAUUGUGCUCUUCUCUCUUGAGUUCAGUUUGUGCAUCAACAAAGGACACUUAAUCGAUAGUGGGUUGUCUGAUCUAGUUUUGGGUCCUUUGUUCUU
This 257-nucleotide long non-coding RNA is filed under the name Carica papaya (papaya). Its description in RNAcentral is "long non-coding RNA (CPAP_LNC004922)". Lineage: Eukaryota; Viridiplantae; Streptophyta; Magnoliopsida; Brassicales; Caricaceae. The record is from RNAcentral.